RNAcentral lists this ribosomal RNA (520 nucleotides) under uncultured bacterium. Its description in RNAcentral is "bacterial SSU rRNA". It matches the Rfam family "Bacterial small subunit ribosomal RNA", at positions 524 to 1050 of the family's 1533-position model. The record is from RNAcentral.
UACGAAGGGACCUAGCGUAGUUCGGAAUUACUGGGCUUAAAGAGUUCGUAGGUGGUUGAAAAAGUUGGUGGUGAAAUCCCAGAGCUUAACUCUGGAACUGCCAUCAAAACUUUUCAGCUAGAGUAUGAUAGAGGAAAGCAGAAUUUCUAGUGUAGAGGUGAAAUUUGUAGAUAUUAGAAGAAUACCAAUUGCGAAGGCAGCUUUCUGGAUCAUUACUGACACUGAGGAACGAAAGCAUGGGUAGCGAAGAGGAUUAGAUACCCUCGUAGUCCAUGCCGUAAACGAUGAUUACUCGCUGUUAGCGAUAUACAGUUAGCGGCCAAGCGAAAGCAUUAAGUAAUCCACCUGGGGAGUACGCCGGCAACGGUGAAACUCAAAGGAAUUGACGGGGGCCCGCACAAGCGGUGGAGCAUGUGGUUUAAUUCGAUGAUACGCGAGGAACCUUACCAGGGUUUAAAUGGAAAUUGACAGACGCCGAAAGGUGUCUUUCUUCGGACAAUUUUCAAGGUGCUGCAUGGUU